This 5409-nucleotide long non-coding RNA is filed under the name Ornithorhynchus anatinus (platypus). RNAcentral describes it as "lncRNA (ENSOANG00000044019.1)". Lineage: Eukaryota; Metazoa; Chordata; Mammalia; Monotremata; Ornithorhynchidae. The record is from RNAcentral.
AUGAAGCCGACAGGCUCUCCCCCUCCCCGGCCCCCUCCCCGGAAAAGUUGGCCGCUCGACGGGGCGGGGAGGGGGAGGGGGCCGGGCGACGUAUAUUCCAGGGGGUCGGGGCGGCUGCGAGGCACCGCGAAGCGUGCUGCGAGGGUGCGACUCCUCGCCGCUGGACCCUUUGCUGCCGCUGGACCCUUUGCUGCCGCUGGACCCUUGGCUGCCGCUGGACCUUCGCUGCCGCUGGACCUUGGCUGCCGCUGGCCGGCCGGAGCUGGCUGCUCGCUCCUGCUCCGCUGCGGUGGUCGCCGCGGGUGUCGGGGGCAGCCGCAGCUGCUGCAGCUGCUGCACCUUCUGCAGCUUCUGCAGCUGCCGCUCGUCCUCCUCCUCGUUCCCCUCUCUCUCCCUCUUAAAUGGGGCCGAGCCCUUCUCGGUGCUCCCGGGCCCGCGCAGCUGUCCCGGGGCUGCCUCUCCUCCUCCUCCUCCUCCUCCUCCUCCUUCCCCCCCACCCCCACCCCGCCCCGGUGGUCUCGGCGGAGAGCGGGCUCCGGAUUCGGAUCCUGCGGCUCCCGGCGGCGAGAACGGCAGGGCCGGCUGCAGCGGGGGAGACGGCGGCGGCGGCGGCGGCGGCGGCGGCGGCGACGGCGGCGGUCUCGCACGUUGGCACCAGUUUGUCUGCGUUGCACGAUCCAAGCCUUUAAAUUUCCUGCACUUUCAGCUCCAUCACCAUGGAAACCACCGACUCUCUCUCUCUCCCCCCUCCUCGCUCCCCCCUCCCCCUUCUCCCCCCCCCCACCAAACACCACCACCCCUCCCUCUCCCCCUCCCCCCCACCCACCCACCCUGACUCUCCACCCCCCAAGCCACAGCUUUUUGCACAUUCCCCGCAAACUGCAAUCGCCGAAGGAGGCCUCGGCCUCGAAGCCCCCCGCGGGUGGGAGAUGCCCCGACCGGGUGGCAGAUGCCCGGGCCGGGUGGCAGAUGCCCCGGAACUCAGAAGAGGUGGCUGCGACGGCGCUUGGCAGGGCAGCGAGGAAAAGUGAAUCUGAGGCCAGAAGCCCCCACCCCGACCUCAUCCAUCCCUCCAUCUGCACCUGCAAAGUCCCACAGUCUCCUCUCCUUGACUCGCGGCUGUGACAGUUCUCACCCGGGACACUGGGAGACCCGGGGCGGACGCCCCACCGUCUAGGCCACCCCAGGUCGAAAGAGGAGAGUGAGCACCCCAAAGUUAAAAUAAAUGUUUGAUUCACACUAUUUGGUUUUGUGCCCGGGUGAUGGGGAGAGGGGCUGAAGGAGCCUCAUGUAAGAAGCGAGGCGCAGGAACGAUUUUUCUUACUCCAAGAGUACUUGCUUUCGCCCUUGGCGUUCUCUUAGAAUAGUGCAUUGCACCUAGCAGGCACUUGGUAAAUAUUUUUCUCCUCCUCUUCCUACCACACUCCUGCUGUAACCAGUAGAGGUAGGAGACCAUUUCUAUCUCCGGGGAAGCAACACUGGAAGAGAUAGAAGACCAUCAAGUCAACAGGGGCUUCUUAAUGUAGGGGGCAGAAACGCAAUCUCACUUGGCCUUAAAGGAAGUUGGAAGUUCCCAGUAUUAAUGCAGCCCAGUUCAUUGUUUUUUGUCUCCUGAUCCACUGUGAAAUCCCACGUCCCACCUUAUUCAGAACUGACCCUUAAAGCCACGUCGGACUGCCAGACUCACCUUGUCUCGGGGCUGUGCUCUGGGAUUGAAGGUGGUGCUGUUGAUGGAGAAAGCCUAUCUCUGGGAGGAGGGAGGGUCGAGUGGCCGAAAAGACCAGUCGGUCACCAAUCAAUAACUGCAUCCAGGCCCUGCAUGUGGGUGAAAAGAGUGCUUUGUCACUGCUCCAUCGGAUCCUGACCCUAAUACUGCUAUCGAUAGUAUGCUAGUAUUCCUGUUUCUAUUGCUGCUGCGAUACUCGCCGAAGCUAUUAUUACUAUUUUCAUUACUAUCGUUACGAUUACCACUCAAUCACACACACAAGUAUAUAUAGAUUUAGUCGGCGGCGGCAUUCCAAGAAGACACCCCUGAUGGUGAAUUCACCUAUGAUCUCUCGUGUGUGGCUGAGAGGGCCGUAUUAGAGGAAAUACGUACUUCCAUUCCCACUCCUGACACGGUUCCUACUGCCAGUAUCACUGCUAUUCCUUCAGCUACCCUGACCACUCCUGCCAUUACUGAGGAGGAGGGGGGCUCAGUGGAAAGACCCCGGGCUUGGCAGUCAGAGGUCCUGGGUUCUAAUCCCCGGCUCUGCCGCUUGUCAGCUGUGUGACACGGGGCAAGUCGCUUCACUUCUCUGGGCCUCAGUUCCCUCGUCUGUAAAAUGGGGUUGGAGACUGGGAGCCCCACAUGGGACAACCUCCUUACCUUGUAAAAUAAAAAAAUAAAUGGUGGUAUUUAUUAAGCGCUUACUAUGUGCAAAGCACCGUUCUAAGCGCUGGGGGGGUGCGAGGCAAUGAAGUAGCCCCACGUGGGGCUCACGGUUUUUAAUCCCCAUUUUGCAGAAGAGGUAACUGAGGCACAGAGAAGUGAAGUGACUUGCCCAAAGUCACACAGCUGGCAAAUGGUGGAGCCAGGGUUCGAACCCAUGACCUCUGACUCCCAAGCCCGGGCCCUUUCCACUGAGCCACGCUGCUUCUCUUGUAUCUACCCCACCGCUUAGAACAGUGCUUGGCACAUUGUAAGCGCUUAACAAAUACUGUCAUUUUAUUAUUACUUCUCCUGUAAUUAUUACUACAGUCAUCCGACUCCUGCCACUAUCACUUCUUAGUAUAACUACCAUUACUAAUUAGGGGGUAUAUUAAGUGCUUACUUUGAGCGAAGCACUGGGGUAGAUGCAAGAUAAUCAGGUCAGAUACAGUCCCUGCCCCACACUAUCUGAGCGGGAGGGAAGCGUCUGUGUCAGGAGGCCCAACUUUCAUUCGUUCUUUCGGUCGAGUUUAUUCAGAGCUUACUUUGUGCAGAGCACUGUGCUAAGCGCUUGGGAGAGCACAAUACAAUAAACAGGGACAUUCCCCGCCAACAACAAACAUGCAGUCUAAAUCUCUCCUGAGCCAUCGUUUCAGGCCAGGGGUAGUUAUCCGUGGCAGCCAAGAAUACUAGUGGUAUUAUUUAAGUGUUUACUCUAUGUCAAGUACCAUACUAAGCACUGGGACAUAUGCAGGAUAAUCAGGUUGGGCAUAGAUUCUGUCGCCCAUGGGGCUCCCAGUCUGAGGAGGAGGGAGAACAAGUUCUGAAUCCCCAUUUUACAGACGAAGAAACUGAGGCACAGAGCCGGUAAGUGAUUUGACAAGUCACACAACCGGAAAGUGGCAGAAUUGAAACCCAGAACCCCUGACCCCCCGCGAGCUCAUGCUCUUUCCACGAGGCCACGUGGCUUCUUGUAGUGUGCCCAAAACCAUUUGAGGCUGUGCUUCCCUUCGGCCUGAAGAUAGCCGUUCUUUUUCUUGCACACAUCUGUUCUCCUGGGCAUAUGUUUUAGUAUCCGGCUAUCGUUCACUCGCUUUCUGUAAACGCAUCCAUUCGCUAGAGUGCCCAGUCCUUGCUACAACCUCCCAAAUGCCUGAUUUAGUCCUCUGCACACAGUAAGUGCUUCAUGCAGACCACUGACAGAUUUUAUCUCCCGGCCCUGUUGCUCGAACACCGCAGUUGAUGCCGCCAUUUAGGAUUUAAUUGUUAGCCCUCAUGAUUUGCCAUUCGGUUUCAAAUCUGGUCCGUGGUGGUCACGGAUGAAAUUGCUCAGGAGCAGUUCCGACUGAUCCCUGUGCCUCCUUGUACGUCUGCUUCCAGAGCCCAGUCUGUGUCAGCAUCCGGCGGAUUCUGGACGGCCUCCUCGGGCAUCGGUCGAGCCACCGUCGGUUGCCUCCGAAGCUGGUGAGACGGAAGAGUGAGUCCGAAAGGAGUUCUGACCCAGCUUCCAGGCCUUUGGUUGUCUUCAAACACGGGCCCGUUGCUCAGCCCCGCUGUCCUCCAGGGGUGAUGAGGACCCUUUCCCGUAUCUCUGCCCCUUCCCGUUCUGAGGACUUCCGGACGGAGGGUUGGGUAAGAGUUUUCUUUUUCAAAAACGUGGACCGGUUGGUGUGUGAAAUAGGGAGCUGGGGUCUCCAGCUAGUGCAGGGGAGAGGGAAGUCUUACUUCUCCCAUCGACUGUCUUCAUUUCUCCCUCUGCCCACUCCCAACCCACCCCUCUAAACCUACUAAUGAUUCUUGGCUGUUCCACCAAGGUGCAGAGGGGGGCUGCAACUGGUGGCCUUCAAGGGGGGAGAGAGAGGAGGAGAGAGGGAGGGAGAGAGAGAAAGAAAGAGGGAUGAGGGAGAGAGAGAGAGGGAAAGAAAGAGGAAGAGGGAGAGAGAGAGGGAAAGAGGAAGAGGGAGAGAGAACAUACUCUUAGAUGGGCAGCAGGGGAGAGAGAAGGGUGACAUGUAUAAGGAUGAGGACGGGUAAGGAUGACUGUGUGUGUGUGUGUUUGCGGCAGUGUGGGGGUUGAUGUGGUGGAGUUGGGCUGAUUCAGGUCGAAGCUGGUGGGAACAGUGCUCACUUCCAGUGAGGGGGGGGAAGGAGAAGGGGAACCAGCAUAAAAGGCCUAGGUGGAUGGCAGGAGGUUCAUCGUAAGUCACUUAGGAGGUGGGCAACAUAAACGAUGUAAAGUAAGACCACCUUGAUUACUAGAAUAAUAAUAAUAAUACUAAUAAUGUUGGUAUUUGUUAAGCGCUCACUAUGUGCCGAGCACUGUUCUAAGCGCUGGGGUAGACACAGGGGAAUCAGGUUGUCCCACGUGGGGCUCACAGUCUUAAUCCCCAUUUUACAGAUGAGGGAACUGAGGCACCGAGAAGUGAAAUCACACCAAAAAGGCCACUCUCAUUACUAUCAUUCAACAAGGGGUGUAGGGAGUGUUGGAGGUGUUGAAAGGUAGGACUUUUUCAGGAAGACAAAAGUGGUAACCUCUCAAUUCCCCAGACCUCUCAAUUCCCCAGACCUCCAUUUAACUAUCAAAACUCAGCCUCCCCGGUCUCCCCACUACCCUCUUUGUCUUCCUUUUCCCUUCGUCCUUUCCUCUCCUGCUCCCCCGGGAGAUGGGGCAAGUGCAGCAGGUGGUUGGGAGGAAAGGGGGAACGGGGAGGGAGGGACGGAGGGAUGGAUGGAGGGAAGGAUGCAGAAAGGGAUGGAAGGGAAAAGGGAGGUAUGGAAGGAGAGUUGAAAUGGAGAGAAGUAGGGAGGGAAAGGCAAAAGUAGGGGGGAGGGGGAAGAUGGGACACAUACAGACCCCCCGACCUGUCUUGCAAACCCCAGUCGGGGCAGUUUGGAUGGAGAAAGGCAACCGACAGCUAGCUGUGCCUGUCCCAGUUCCGACCCAGCAGGGCUCCUGCCCCUCCCGAGGCCUGGCUCUGACCCCCCCUCCCCCAGCCGCC